CCUACGGGAGGCUGCAGUGGGGAAUAUUGCACAAUGGGCGCAAGCCUGAUGCAGCCAUGCCGCGUGUGUGAAGAAGGCCUUCGGGUUGUAAAGCACUUUCAGCGGGGAGGAAGGCGGUGAGGUUAAUAACCUCAUCGAUUGACGUUACCCGCAGAAGAAGCACCGGCUAACUCCGUGCCAGCAGCCGCGGUAAUACGGAGGGUGCAAGCGUUAAUCGGUAUUACUGGGCGUAAAGCGCACGCAGGCGGUCUGUCAAGUCGGAUGUGAAAUCCCCGGGCUCAACCUGGGAACUGCAUUCGAAACUGGCAGGCUAGAGUCUUGUAGAGGGGGGUAGAAUUCCAGGUGUAGCGGUGAAAUGCGUAGAGAUCUGGAGGAAUACCGGUGGCGAAGGCGGCCCCCUGGACAAAGACUGACGCUCAGGUGCGAAAGCGUGGGGAGCAAACAGGAUUAGAUACCCCUGUAGUC
RNAcentral lists this ribosomal RNA (465 nucleotides) under uncultured Klebsiella sp. RNAcentral's name for it is "bacterial SSU rRNA". It matches the Rfam family "Bacterial small subunit ribosomal RNA", at positions 338 to 795 of the family's 1533-position model. Lineage: Bacteria; Pseudomonadati; Pseudomonadota; Gammaproteobacteria; Enterobacterales; Enterobacteriaceae. The record is from RNAcentral.